GCUGGGCGUGGGUGCGCACGCCUGUAAUCCCAGCUACUCAGGAGGCUGAGGCAGGAGAUUUGCUUGAACACUGGAGGCGGAGGUUGCAGUGAGCUGAGAUCACGCCACUGCAGUCCAGCCUGGGUGACAGAGCAAGACUCUGUCUCAA
Molecule: unclassified non-coding RNA, 148 nt
Organism: Macaca fascicularis (crab-eating macaque)
Lineage: Eukaryota; Metazoa; Chordata; Mammalia; Primates; Cercopithecidae
Rfam family: Metazoan signal recognition particle RNA
About the family: The signal recognition particle (SRP) is a universally conserved ribonucleoprotein. It is involved in the co-translational targeting of proteins to membranes.
Source: Ensembl